Molecule: ribosomal RNA, 459 nt
Filed under: uncultured bacterium
Lineage: Bacteria
Description: partial 16S ribosomal RNA
Rfam family: Bacterial small subunit ribosomal RNA
Source: RNAcentral
CCUACGUGAGGCAGCAGUGAGGAAUAUUGGUCAAUGGGCGGGAGCCUGAACCAGCCAAGUAGCGUGAAGGAUGACAGCCCUAUGGGGUUUAAACUUCUUUUAUAAGGGAAUAAAGUGCCCCACGUGUGGGGUUUUGUAUGUACCUUAUGAAUAAGCAUCGGCUAAUUCCGUGCCAGCAGCCGCGGUAAUACGGAAGAUGCGAGCGUUAUCCGGAUUUAUUGGGUUUAAAGGGUGCGUAGGCGGAUUGUUAAGUCAGCGGUAAAAUGUCCGGGCUCAACCCGGGCCGGCCGUUGAAACUGGGGAUCUUGAGUGGGCGAGAAGUAUGCGGAAUGCGUGGUGUAGCGGUGAAAUGCAUAGAUAUCACGCAGAACUCCGAUUGCGAAGGCAGCAUACCGGCGCCCGACUGACGCUGAGGCACGAAAGCGUGGGGAUCGAACAGGAUUAGAUACCCGAGUAGUC